AGUGAACGCUGGCGGUAGGCCUAACACAUGCAAGUCGAACGGCAGCACAGUAAGAGCUUGCUCUUACGGGUGGCGAGUGGCGGACGGGUGAGGAAUACAUCGGAAUCUACUUUUUCGUGGGGGAUAACGUAGGGAAACUUACGCUAAUACCGCAUACGACCUACGGGUGAAAGCAGGGGAUCUUCGGACCUUGCGCGAUUGAAUGAGCCGAUGUCGGAUUAGCUAGUUGGCGGGGUAAAGGCCCACCAAGGCGACGAUCCGUAGCUGGUCUGAGAGGAUGAUCAGCCACACUGGAACUGAGACACGGUCCAGACUCCUACGGGAGGCAGCAGUGGGGAAUAUUGGACAAGGGGCGCAAGCCUAAUCCAGCCAUACCGCGGGGGUGAAGAAGGCCUUCGGGUUGUAAAGCCCUUUUGUUGGGAAAGAAAAGCAGCAGGUUAAUACCCCGCUGUUCUGACGGUACCCAAAGAAUAAGCACCGGCUAACUUCGUG
This 492-nucleotide ribosomal RNA is filed under the name uncultured bacterium. Its description in RNAcentral is "partial 16S ribosomal RNA". It matches the Rfam family "Bacterial small subunit ribosomal RNA", at positions 29 to 507 of the family's 1533-position model. The record is from RNAcentral.